GCGCUCGUGGCGGAAUGGCAGACGCGCUAGAUUCAGGUUCUAGUGGGGAAACCCGUGCAGGUUCAAGUCCUGCCGAGCGCA
This 81-nucleotide transfer RNA is filed under the name Candidatus Methylacidithermus pantelleriae. It matches the Rfam family "tRNA". Rfam says of the family: Transfer RNA (tRNA) molecules are approximately 80 nucleotides in length. Their secondary structure includes four short double-helical elements and three loops (D, anti-codon, and T loops). The record is from Rfam by way of RNAcentral. Lineage: Bacteria; Pseudomonadati; Verrucomicrobiota; Methylacidiphilae; Methylacidiphilales; Methylacidiphilaceae.